CCUACGCGAGCGCGAUUACGGCGAUGACCAGCGGAGGGAUCAUUACCGAGUUUACAACUCCCAAACCCAAUGUGAACGUUACCAAACUGUUGCCUCGGCGGGAUCUCUGCCCCGGGUGCGUCGCAGCCCCGGACCAAGGCGCCCGCCGGAGGACCAACCAAAACUCUUAUUGUAUACCCCCUCGCGGGUUUUUUUAUAAUCUGAGCCUUCUCGGCGCCUCUCGUAGGCGUUUCGAAAAUGAAUCAAAACUUUCAACAACGGAUCUCUUGGUUCUGGCAUCGAUGAAGAACGCAGCGAAAUGCGAUAAGUAAUGUGAAUUGCAGAAUUCAGUGAAUCAUCGAAUCUUUGAACGCACAUUGCGCCCGCCAGUAUUCUGGCGGGCAUGCCUGUCCGAGCGUCAUUUCAUCUCUCGAAUCCCUCCGGGGGGUCGGCGUGGGGGAUCGUCCUUUCCCCGGCAACGGACGGGUCCCAAUAGAAAAUUAAAGUGGUUUUUAUAUCUAUGGAAAAGCAAACAAAAUCUAUGUAGUCCAAAAGGGAUCCUUACGAAAUCGCGGAUUUGUAUAGUUACUUCAAUUUCAAGAAAACAGAAUCUUUAGGAAAUCUUAUUGUCUAUAACUUGACACUAACCCCAAAAAGGAUUCUUAUUGAACAUUCAAAUUACGAUUGUCUUUAUUCAACAUUUUUUUAUGUUUUAUAAAAAUAUCGCCAUUGAAUUGACUCUUUCAAUCUCGACGAUUAAAGAUGAAUAGGCUAUUAUGAUUUCAAACAAGCCGCUAUGGUGAAAUUGGUAGAACCCUUUUUUGAAAGGAAAGCCCCCCCCCUCUCCAAACCCCCGCCCCCCCCCUCCGCCCAACCCCCAU
Molecule: unclassified non-coding RNA, 860 nt
Filed under: Trichoderma harzianum
Lineage: Eukaryota; Fungi; Ascomycota; Sordariomycetes; Hypocreales; Hypocreaceae
Description: sequence contains 18S rRNA gene, ITS1, 5.8S rRNA gene, ITS2 and 28S rRNA gene
Rfam family: 5.8S ribosomal RNA (bases 247-400)
Source: RNAcentral